This 258-nucleotide long non-coding RNA is filed under the name Spirodela polyrhiza (greater duckweed). RNAcentral's name for it is "long non-coding RNA (SPOL_LNC000939)". Lineage: Eukaryota; Viridiplantae; Streptophyta; Magnoliopsida; Alismatales; Araceae. The record is from RNAcentral.
UCCCCUUGAGUCUCCAGUUAAACUAUCCCCUAGAUUAUGGAGGCCCAGUCUAGUAAAAGCUUGUGGUCCCCUCCCUCUCUUACGAUUCCCCCAUAUCGCUCUUGCUUGUCCCAGUGAACCAGAAACUUCCUCCGCUCUCUCUCUCUCCCUGUGCACCUCUAAAGAAAGUGCCUGUAAAAACUCUCUCAUAUGUUUUAUUCGCUUUUCAUGUUCCAAACGUGCUCUUCUCCCUUCUUCACGCCCCAGAGGAAGGUAGAG